This 892-nucleotide ribosomal RNA is filed under the name uncultured bacterium. RNAcentral's name for it is "bacterial SSU rRNA". It matches the Rfam family "Bacterial small subunit ribosomal RNA", at positions 28 to 896 of the family's 1533-position model. The record is from RNAcentral.
AACGAACGCUGGCGGCGUGGAUAAGACAUGCAAGUCGAACGAGAACUUCAGCUGUAGCAAUACAGUUGAAGUUUUAGUGGCGAACGGGUGCGUAACACGUGGGCAAUCUGCCGAGAAGUGGGGGAUAGCUCGCCGAAAGGCGAAUUAAUACCGCAUAUGAUCAGGGACGACAUCUUCCCAACAUCAAAGCCGGGGCAACCUGGCGCUUCUUGAUGAGCCCGCGGCCUAUCAGCUAGUUGGUGAGGUAACGGCUCACCAAGGCUUUGACGGGUAGCUGGUCUGAGAGGACGACCAGUCACUGGAACUGAGACACGGUCCAGACACCUACGGGUGGCAGCAGUCGAGAAUUUUUCUCAAUGGGGGCAACCCUGAAGGAGCGACGCCGCGUGGAGGAUGAAGGUCUUCGGGUUGUAAACUCCUGUCAUUUGGGAACAAGCGUCGGUACGUAACUACUACCGGCUUGAUAGUACCAGAAGAGGAAGGGACGGCUAACUCUGUGCCAGCAGCCGCGGUAAUACAGAGGUCCCAAGCGUUGUUCGGAUUCAUUGGGCGUAAAGGGUGCGUAGGUGGCGCGCUAAGUCAGGUGUGAAAUCUCGGGGCUUAACUCCGAAACUGCAUUUGAUACUGGCGUGCUUGAGGACUGGAGAGGAGACUGGAAUUUACGGUGUAGCAGUGAAAUGCGUAGAGAUCGUAAGGAAGACCAGUGGCGAAGGCGGGUCUCUGGACAGUUCCUGACACUGAGGCACGAAGGCCAGGGGAGCAAACGGGAUUAGAUACCCCGGUAGUCCUGGCAGUAAACGGUGCACGUUUGGUGUGGGGGGGGAUUCGACCCCUUCUGCGCCGGAGCUAACGCGUUAAACGUGCCGCCUGGGGGAGUACGGUCGCAAGAUUA